Long non-coding RNA from Brienomyrus brachyistius, 398 nucleotides. RefSeq lists it as uncharacterized. The transcript is spliced from 3 exons. The record is from RefSeq and is a predicted model, not a curated record. Lineage: Eukaryota; Metazoa; Chordata; Actinopteri; Osteoglossiformes; Mormyridae.
UCCGAGGCAUUCUUCAGCAGAGACACGGCCUGGGUGUGGCUCAUGCCCUCUGUUGAUGUGCCGCAGAUGGAUACGAUCCGGUCACCCAUCUGCAGGCAGACCGGCGGGGUGCAGACCAUCAGUGCCCCGGCUCCAGCUUUGUACCCGCAGCUGCUGCGUCUGGGCGGCCAGGCCCGUGGGGUGCAUCAUGGCGAUGAAGAUGGGCACGUCCCCUAGGGGGCUCCCUACGCCGCCGGCGAUGCUGAUCCCCAGCGAGUCGCUGGGUCCCUGUAAAGACGCAGCACACGGUCGUGAGGGACUCCGAGGAGCCGCUUAUCUGCAUGUCACAGAGCCCUUGCAGGAGGCUGCUGAUUAGGGGCGGAAAGACUCACGCUCGUUGCUCCUGUGUUUAUCCAAGU